UUAACUGAAACCAAAACAGAGGUAUAUUACUGUUAAUAAUACAAUUGAAUUAUAUUCCAGUUAAG
This 65-nucleotide transfer RNA is filed under the name Anaplecta sp. 3 ZQW-2020. RNAcentral's name for it is "tRNA-Asn". The record is from RNAcentral. Lineage: Eukaryota; Metazoa; Arthropoda; Insecta; Blattodea; Anaplectidae.